RNAcentral lists this long non-coding RNA (2141 nucleotides) under Homo sapiens (human). RNAcentral's name for it is "HSALNT0067075". Lineage: Eukaryota; Metazoa; Chordata; Mammalia; Primates; Hominidae. The record is from RNAcentral.
CACCAUGCAUGCAUACUCAUAUGAAUGUACAAAUGGAUGAGUCUAGAACAAAAGAUACUAGCCUGAUACAUAUACAAACUAUGCAGCUGCAGUCCCUGCCUCUUCCGCAACCCUGACCUCUAAGAAAGCUCUAACUCUGAAUCCUGUCAGCACCUGGGCUGUGCUGCUUGGGACAACAUUGUCUUCACAAGUCCUCUCCACAUUCUCAGAGGUGGGGGUAUUGCCAAUGAUGGGGGUUACUGCCUGAGUCCCGUCACCAGGGGACAAAGCUACAGCAGACACCACCAUCUGCCAACAAAAAGAGAGAUCAUCUCCCACCCCUGGUUCUGCUGACGCAAUCACUGGAAGCAUCGAGGCACCACUAUGUCCUCACCUGCCUCGGAUUCAAUUUCCUCCUAGCCAGGUCUGUUCUAAGGUCUCCAGAAGUUGAGAAAUUAAUUGAAAGAUAACACUUUCCUCCCUGUGUUAAGGUUUAUCACAUAAUGUAUCCAAAUACUGGGCCAGUCUUUCCUUUGGUCUCAUUUCUAUGAGCUAAUCUGAAAAUGCCUUUUCUGUUUUCCUUAGAAUUUUUCUAAAUGUUUCUGGGCGCUUGUGUUCCUGAGGCUUUCCACAGUGCACCCUCUUGUUCAUCUGAUGUCUUUGGCACAUAUAGGCCCUCGACAGGUAGUUGUUCAAUGAACAGAUGACCAUCCUGUCCUUUGUGUGAACAAGCAUAGCAAGUGCACAUUGUAUCUGUUUGUGUAUCCAACAGCGUCCCUCCAAAGCCACUUUGUUCACUUAUUUUCUCAGGAUCACGGACGGCUGCAUCUUGACAUAAGCACACAGAAUCUUUCCUUUUCCAGUCACUUUUCCUUUUUCCAGAUUCCGGCCAUAGAAUUCCAGGCACAGAGCCAACCAUGCCUGGCACCCCCUCCUGUCUUGGGACAAGGAUACUUUCUCCUGUGGCUCCCAUCUUGCUUCCAACAUUCUUCUGCCAGAAUUCAGUUUGGCGGACAAUGACCUACUACUUUUAAUUUUUUUCCCCUUUUUGCUCUUCUACCAAAUACCGCUUUUCACCCAGGCUUUUCACUGCGUAGUGGACAAUCUAUCAAACAGGUGCUGUCCAGCGUGAGGGGCAGUUGCAAAGGUCUGCAUCGGUGCUGGCUGAUGGAACUUUCCGGUGAUGGCAUCAUUCCGUAGCUGCACUGUCCAGUGAGGAGGCUACUUGCCACUGUGGCUACUGCUUGGGAUGGUGCAGGUCUGAAUAUCUUACUCACAGCUCACCUUUUUGGUGCCUUUGAUCCGUAUUAGGAAUUAUCCACAUCUUCUCUCUGGGCAAUAUUCUACUUUUUAUAUUGACCCAAUUAUUUUACUUCUUUGGUGUGUCCUUUCUCCUAACACAUAUGGGUUCACUUUGAAACCCUGAAACCCACAUUUACAAAAACAUUUUCAAUAUGAAACAUUGUUCCAUGACUCAUUACUGGAGUACCAUCAACAUUUACAUUUCCAGACCACCCACUGCCCAGUGGUUUUCUUGGUCUCAGUACUCAUGAAAACGGUCUGAAGGUUUGUUUUGGGUUCCUAAGUAGUAGACACACGCACAACACUGCCUGUCAGUUAUUUCUUGGAAACUAAAUCAGCCCUUCUGUUGCCAUCCUAUCAUGCUUCAGGGGUGCCUGUGCUAGUUUUUAAUUCUUUGUCCUAACACUUAAAUGUUUGCUCAAACGCCCAUAUUAAUACUUCCUCUUAGUUUACAAAAGGAUUUACUUUCUUACUGGUUGGGAUGAAGCUGCCUGAGGUUGCCACCUGUUAUUUUUCCUUCAUUUAUUGGACCAUGUCAUCCCAUUACAUGUUAGCCGUGGAGGUUUUCAAACUGUGUUCCCUGGACAUGUUAGAAAUGCAAAUUCUCAGACCGAACCAGGACUGAAUCGGAAGAUCUGGGGUAGGGUCCCUCCAGGACUGAAAACGGAAGGUCUGGGGUGGGGUACCCCAGGACUGAAUCGGAAGGUCUGGGGUGGGGUCCCCCCAGGACUGAAUCGGAAGGUCUGGACUAGGGCCCCCCCAGGACCGAAUCGGAAGGUCUGGACUAGGGUCCCCCCAGGACUGAAUUGGAAGGUCUGGGGUAGCGUCCCUCCAGCUGAUCCUGUUACACAGGUUAGAGA